RNAcentral lists this long non-coding RNA (668 nucleotides) under Felis catus (domestic cat). RNAcentral's name for it is "lncRNA (ENSFCAG00000041811.2)". The record is from RNAcentral. Lineage: Eukaryota; Metazoa; Chordata; Mammalia; Carnivora; Felidae.
CCUGUCCAGUGCGUUGACUUAAACUACUCAGGUAAUGGCUUCUAUCAUGCAGUUAGUUCUUCUCUAUUUAGAGCCAGACGUUUUCGUCUUGUCUUAUAUUAUUAAGGAGUCAAGGACUACCACCAUCUCUCUUCUGCUUCCUUGGGUUUCCACUUCCAUUGCUGUCCUUGAUACUGUUGCUGAUGUGCUAUUUGGGAAGACCAGGCAUUUAUACCCCAAACAGGUCAUAAGGGGACCACUGCCUUCUGAAUGAAUAUGAGUAUCUUCAUGGAAAAAAUAUCUUGAGAGGAAAAAAAGGUUACUGAAUUUAUUAUUUUUUAAAAUUUUUCUGAAGUUUAUUUACUUUUUUUUUUUUUUUGAGAGAGAGAGAGAGAGAGAGAGAGAGAGAAUGAGAGAGUGCAGGCAGGAAAGGGGCAGAGAGAGAGGGAGAGAGAGAGAGAAUCCCAAGCAGGCUCCGCACUGCCAGUGCAGAGCCUGAUGUGGGGCUUGAACCCACGAACCGGGAGAUCAUGACCUGAGCCAGAAUCAAGAGUCAGACGCUUAACUGACUGAACCACCCAGGUGCCCCCAAACCACUGAAUUUAUAUUAGAAAAUCCAGUGGAAGUGAUCAGGACAGCAAAGUGGAAUCACGGUCCUUAGGAGCAAGAGGGAAUUAGAGAUAGUAUAG